AUACGUAGGGGGCGAGCGUUAUCCGGAUUUACUGUGUGUAAAGGGAGCGUAGGUGGCGAAGCAAGUCAGAUGUGAAAGCCCGGGGCUUAACUCCGGGACUGCAUUUGAAACUGUUUUGCUAGAGUGCAGGAGAGGUAAGUGGAAUUCCUAGUGUAGCGGUGAAAUGCGUAGAUAUUAGGAGGAACACCAGUGGCGAAGGCGGCUUACUGGACUGUAACUGACACUGAGGCUCGAAAGCGUGGGGAGCAAACAGGAUUAGAUACCCUGGUAGUCCACGCUGUAAACGAUGAAUACUAGGUGUUGGGGAGCGAAAGCUCUUCGGUGCCGUCGCAAACGCAUUAAGUAUUCCACCUGGGGAGUACGUUCGCAAGAAUGAA
RNAcentral lists this ribosomal RNA (377 nucleotides) under uncultured bacterium. RNAcentral describes it as "bacterial SSU rRNA". It matches the Rfam family "Bacterial small subunit ribosomal RNA", at positions 523 to 898 of the family's 1533-position model. The record is from RNAcentral.